This 253-nucleotide ribosomal RNA is filed under the name uncultured bacterium. Its description in RNAcentral is "partial 16S ribosomal RNA". It matches the Rfam family "Bacterial small subunit ribosomal RNA", at positions 524 to 776 of the family's 1533-position model. The record is from RNAcentral.
UACGAAGGGGGCUAGCGUUGUUCGGAUUUACUGGGCGUAAAGCGCACGUAGGCGGAUUGUUAAGUCGGGGGUGAAAUCCUGGAGCUCAACUUCAGAAUUGCCUUCGAUACUGGCUUUCUAGAGGCUGGAAGAGGUUAGUGGAAUUCCCAGUGUAGAGGUGAAAUUCGUAGAUAUUGGGAAGAACACCAGUGGCGAAGGCGGCUAACUGGUCCAGAUCUGACGCUGAGGUGCGAAAGCCAGGGGAGCAAACGGG